UACAGAGGUCUCAAGCGUUGUUCGGAUUCAUUGGGCGUAAAGGGUGCGUAGGCGGCGCGUUAAGUCGGGUGUGAAAUCUCGGGGCUUAACUCCGAAACUGCAUUCGAUACUGCCGUGCUUGAGGACUGGAGAGGAGACUGGAAUUUACGGUGUAGCGGUGAAAUGCGCAGAUAUCAGGAGGAACACCUAUUGCGAAGGCAGCUCGCUGGGACGUAACUGACGCUGAGACGCGAAAGCGUGGGGAGCAAACAGG
This 253-nucleotide ribosomal RNA is filed under the name uncultured bacterium. RNAcentral's name for it is "partial 16S ribosomal RNA". It matches the Rfam family "Bacterial small subunit ribosomal RNA", at positions 524 to 776 of the family's 1533-position model. The record is from RNAcentral.